AGCGUAGGCGGCGUGGUAAGUCAGAUGUGAAAUCCCGGGGCUCAACCCCGGAACUGCAUCCGAUACUGCCGUGCUAGAGGAUUGGAGAGGUAGCUGGAAUUCACGGUGUAGCAGUGAAAUGCGUAGAUAUCGUGAGGAACACUCGUGGCGAAAGCGAGCACUGGACAACUCCUGACGCUGAGGCUCCAAGGGCCAGGGUAAGGCAAAGG
This 209-nucleotide ribosomal RNA is filed under the name uncultured bacterium. RNAcentral's name for it is "partial 16S ribosomal RNA". It matches the Rfam family "Bacterial small subunit ribosomal RNA", at positions 568 to 776 of the family's 1533-position model. The record is from RNAcentral.